ACAUACCACAUUUACAGUUUCUCAUUUUUCCUUUUCUUUCUCUCUCUUCUCUUUGAUUCUCUCAACUCUCUCUCCCUCCGGCCACCCCUGUUCUUCAUCUUCACUGUCCCAACCACCAUAUUCCCGAGUUUUCCGGUUGAACUUCAACCGGAAAAUUCAAACAUUUAACUGUUUUAUCCCUAGAACCCUUAAACCAAACCCAGAAUCCUUCACAACCCCAUGAACCCUAGAUGGGUUUCAAUGAACCCUAACAUUUCCUUGAUGAAUCAUAGGGUUCAUCACGUGAACCCUAACCUUAACCUAACCCUAAAAAUUACCUAGAAACCCCCAAACCCUUAUCAGAACCUGGAUUGAACAUUAAACCCAAAUAAAUCCACACACGCAUCAUGAAAAUGAACAGUCAACAGGGCAAACACGUCUAACAACAUAAAUAUCAAAGCGACGUUUAAAGGGAGCAAGAACCAACCUUCGGCGACGUGGAUUCCUCCGGUAAGGUACUUUUAUUCACCCUUCUCUUCUUUUAUUUUUGUUGAUCUUAUUCCCUCCUUCUCUAAUUCUUCCUUCUUUGCUUGUUGCGAGGUCUUACCGGCAAAAAGCUCAAGCUUGGAUACGAUUAGGGUUUGAUGACAACCCUAAUCCACCGGAUUUCAAAGCUCUUGUGAGGAUUAGGGAUUUUUGCUGUUAUCGAUUUCGGGUCCCGUCCUCUUAUUUUAGAUUCCAUUUUUUAUAGAAUUAGGAUUUAGGUUUUAAUUUUAAUAUUGAUUUGUAACUUUAGGAAGUUUUCAAUUGAUUGGUUGUGAUUCUGAUUUUAGUUUUAUUUAAGUUUGAUUUAGUUUAUGAAUUACAUUAUAUUGAUUUUGGAAACCUUAGAUUGAAAUGGAAACUAUCAUUUUUUUUAUUCAUUUGGAUUUUGAAUUUGGCGCAA
This 925-nucleotide long non-coding RNA is filed under the name Lathyrus oleraceus (garden pea). RNAcentral describes it as "Pisum sativum (pea) long non-coding RNA (PSAT_LNC006696)". The record is from RNAcentral. Lineage: Eukaryota; Viridiplantae; Streptophyta; Magnoliopsida; Fabales; Fabaceae.